Piliocolobus tephrosceles (Ugandan red Colobus) is the source of this 2617-nucleotide long non-coding RNA. The record is from Ensembl. NCBI's taxonomy places the organism in Eukaryota, Metazoa, Chordata, Mammalia, Primates, Cercopithecidae.
UAUAAACAUAUAUAUAACCCCUUUCUCAUUUUGUGUUUUUUUUUUUUUUUUUCUGUACAUAUACAUACAUACGUGAGGAACACUAUGCAACAUAUCGAUGAUGAACGUUAUACAUAGUUAUAAUAACUCGUUUUGUCACCAUACGCUAGAGACGUAUGAAAGAAAACAUGAAGUAAGGACAUCUCAGCUAAAGGAAAAAAAUUGGUUAAUAAGUAUUAAUAAACAGUUGAUAGGAAAAGCAAUGAUUUUAGAAAGUUUAUUAAUAGAACAGGUAAAAAACUUAAAGAUAGUAGAGUUAAAACGAAAAGGUCUAACGUGCAUGCGUCACAGUCACAAUAUAAAUAUUCAUGAUAAUAGUUUAUAUAUAUGUAUAAAAGAAGAAAACAGUAAAGCUAUGUAUUAUAUCAUAAACCCAAUGAAUUAUAAUAUAUUACGUAACCAUCAAUAUAUAAAGCAUGAAAGUAAUAAUAAUCCAUCAUGCAGAGUAUAUAUAAUUGUUUCACAUGAAAAGGAUAAACAUGAUUGUCAUAUGGACGAUAAUAUAAUUAUUUUAAGAACAAUAAAUAAAAUAAUAUGUGAAACAACAAGUAAAAAUAUGACAGACAAAACUGGAGACAAUAUUAACGAAACAAGUAAUAACAAAACGAUUGAGAGUAAAGAGCGUAGUAAGAACAGGGAUAUGGAGGAAAAAUGGAAUAUAAAUAAUAAUAGUAGAGUACAGGCAAAAAAACGAGAUAUACAACAAUGGAACAUGUAUGAAAACAAUUUGUUGGAAGAAGCAGAGGUAAAGUUAAUUAAUGAUAAGCAUAAAGAGAAUGGGUCCAGACUAUGUACAAAUGGAAAAUCGUUUGAGAACUGUUAUAAUGAACAUUAUUUCAAUCAACAUAAUAUAUUUGAUAGUAUAUAUUGUAUAAAUAAUAAUUGGUCAACUUUUAAUACUAUAGCAGAGAAAAAUAUAUUCCAAUUCACUAUUUUUUUGAUGAAUAUUCAAAUGAGUGAACUGAUGUUAUUUUAUGUUCUUAUAAUUUUAAAACUAAUGAUAAAAAAAAAAAAUUUUGAUGUUGAUUUAUCAAAUUUGGACAAUAGUAGUAAUUAUUUGAAUAAUAAGAAGAAUAUGUUUUUAUUAUUAACCAUAUUAUUAUUGUCAUUAUCUUUAGUAUAUAACAGAGGUUACUACAACGGCGUAUCGAAUAGUCAAAUUUUAAAUAAAAAAAAAAAAUAUAUCAUUAACAAGGUGCAAAUGUAUUACAAACAACAGUAUAAUUUUAUGAAUACAUAUGAUAGUGAAGUAGGGGGUUUUAAUAAUUUUGAAUGUAUUAAAACACUAUUAGGAUAUGAAAAAAAAAAAUAUAUAUAUAUAUUUUUACUAUUAUUUUUGUCAUUAUUUUAUAAAAUUUUAACACUUACGUUAACUAUUUUAUUAAAAAAUAUAUUACCGUUAAUAAUAGAUGCCUAUUGUAAAUUUAAGAAUUUCAUACUAGCCAAUUUAUUUAUAAUAAAUGAGUAUUUAUAUAAAAUAAUACUUUUAAGUUGUGUUGUGAAACACAUUAUAAAUUUUAUUCAUUUGUUAUACUUAUGUUUAAAUUUUAAUAAUAGUGUGAAUAUGAUAGGUAUGUAUUCAAAUGGAGGUUAUUUAUGUGCACAUGACGAACCGCGUCGACCUGGUGAUAGUAUUGAAAGUAUCAGUAAUAACGACAGUAGUAGUAAUGUCACUGGUAUUUUUAAAAACUAUAAUAAAAUUUAUACUUUUAUUAAAAAAAUAAAAGCUUUCGAUAAAUUAAUUUUUAUACAAGUUCAUAAAGGCAGUACACUGUAUUGUAAUAUAAUCCCUUCCAUCUGUUUAAGAAAUAUCAUGUUAAGAGUUUAUUAUUCGGAUAAGUUUUUAAUGGGAUCUAACGAUAGAGAACGUAGUAAUUCUAUUAUAUGUAACACUUGGGGUUAUAACAAUACCAAUAUUUAUAACAAUAGAUAUACUUAUAACAAUAAUGUUGACAGUAAUAAUGGUACUAGCAAAAACAGCAGUAACAACAACAGCGGUAACGACAGCAGUAGUGAUAACAACAGCGGUAAUGGUGGAGGCAAUAACAACAACGGGGGUAACGACAAUAAUAGCGGUAACGACUAUGGAGGUAAUGACAACGGGGGUAAUGACAAUGGAAGUAAUGACAAUGGGGGUAACGACAAUGGGGGUAACGACAAUGGGGGUAACGACAAUGGGGGUAACGACAAUGGAAGUAGCAGCAAUAAUAAUGAUGAAGGUGAUAAGAAUAACGAUAAAGAUAACAUAAAUCAUAAACAAACCGAAAAACAAGAUGAAGAGGAGGAGAGAGAAGAAGAGAAAGAAGAAAAAAAUGAAAACGAAAUAAACGAUAGUGAUAAUAAAAAAGUAACACGUGAAAACAUAAAUAAUGACAAUAGUAGUAACAGGAUGAGUCACAAUAAUAGCAAUUUAAAACAUGUGAUGCUUAUACAAAACUUACCUGAAACGAAAAUAAAUAGUUUGACUAAUAUAUACAAGGAUAGUGAUGAUAAUAGUAAUAUAAUGAAUGAUAAUAGUAGUAAUAGUAAUACUAAUGGUGGUAUAAAUGGUAAUGUAAAUGGAAAUAACAACAACAGC